CUUACCAUAGUUUAUUUAGAACUUUUAAUUUGCAUUUAAACAGAGGGAUUUCCCUGGUGAGC
RNAcentral lists this transfer RNA (62 nucleotides) under Sabella spallanzanii. Its description in RNAcentral is "tRNA-Ala". The record is from RNAcentral. Lineage: Eukaryota; Metazoa; Annelida; Polychaeta; Sabellida; Sabellidae.